Molecule: long non-coding RNA, 707 nt
Organism: Drosophila gunungcola (fruit fly)
Lineage: Eukaryota; Metazoa; Arthropoda; Insecta; Diptera; Drosophilidae
Exons: 3
Source: RefSeq, a predicted model, not a curated record
CAGCAGCAUAGCUCCGGCAGAGCACACACAUCGACAAGUUUUACCAUCCAAGUCGGCAAUGAACACCUUCUAGAAUGAGUUAUUUCGCGGUUACUUUGCAACCGAUGUUUUUUCCGUGCAACACAAAACUCUUGGCGCGAAACAAAAAUAAUUAGAUGUCGGCCAACUUAUUUCUGUGAACCAGAGACGUUUUCGGAAGAGUAGUGGUGGUUUGGAGGAAUGGGUCUGGCAUCUCACCACGAAGAAGGCAGCAGAAGACAAAAGGAGAUUGAGUGAGACGAGUGGAGAGAGGAGUGAAAAACGAGGAACACAAAGACGAAGACGAGAGGAACACAAAGCAAAAAUAUUUAAUAACGCUGUUUAAAUAUGAUUUGUUUAUUUUAAAUACCCGAAAUUCAGCACUCUGACGAAUUAUCGCAUUAAUAAUCAAAAUUUAACUAUCAAUUACAAUAAUCUCAAAGAUCAAAAAGAGAAAAGAGAUUUUACGGGUACUUUUUUUUUACAUUUGGACGUUAAUGCACUACGAUCAGUACAAUCAAGUGGCCCCGACGAUACCAAGCAAAGCUUGUUACGCGCGAAGCCAUCUUCCUAUCGGGGCGUCAAAACGAGAUCGCGAGUAAAAGAACAGACAGACCAAUUUUAAAUAAAUACCAAACUAAAAAACUAAUACUACUACUACUAAUACUUUAAUAAUACUAAUUACGUGU